This 783-nucleotide ribosomal RNA is filed under the name Triticum aestivum (bread wheat). Its description in RNAcentral is "partial small subunit ribosomal RNA". The record is from RNAcentral. Lineage: Eukaryota; Viridiplantae; Streptophyta; Magnoliopsida; Poales; Poaceae.
AUGAAGUCCCACACCAAUACCACGAUUCCACCUUCCGUCGUGAGGAUCUUCAAGAAGGAUGUGGGAGUGACGACCGUGAUGUUGGUAGGCCGCGACCUCGGCUGGCAGCUAGCGAGGGACAAGCCCGUGGUCAAGCUCGACUGCCUGCACUACCUCUUCAAGGUGCCGGACAAGGACGGCGUGCACCUCAACAACGGCGUGAUGACCCUGGUGCACGUCGGCCGCGAGUUCGGUUGGCUGCUGGUAAGGAACGAGACCGUGAUCAAGCUCGACCGCCUGCAUUACCUCUUCAAGCUGCCAGACAAGGACGGCGUGCUCCCCAACUACGGCGUUGUCGAAGCCACGCUCCUGCCAUCCCUCGAUGUGCUUCUCAAGUCUGACUCUUGCUUGUCCGCGCCUUCUAGGGUAUCAAGGCCGCCCCCAUCGGCGUCGGCAUCGCGGGUGGACAGAAACAACGGCAUGCUCGCCAAGGCCAUCGCCGCGGGCACCAGCCACCCCAUCAAAGGCAUCUUCAUGUGCAACGAGGCCUACUGCAGCCCGGUACAGACUGCUCUGGGUGUGGAAGCGGUCAGAGAUGACAUAGAAGAUGAGCAAGACGAUGAUGGACAUGGUCAUCUGGGUGACAGGGUCUAUGGCUGCUCCGCUGCUUCUUUCCAGGCAAGGGAAAGCCCUCCUCGCCACCGCACUCGGGAGGAUGUUCUGGCCUCUCUCGACGCCAUCAGUGAGUACAGUAGUGCCCUGGAAACACUGAUGGGACCUUGGCGUAACGAGCAAAUCUUUUAG